Non-coding RNA from Mycena alexandri, 86 nucleotides. NCBI's taxonomy places the organism in Eukaryota, Fungi, Basidiomycota, Agaricomycetes, Agaricales, Mycenaceae. The record is from the annotation of a GenBank genome assembly.
GCUCACAUGGCGUAGUGGUUAACGCGCUGGCACUGGCUGUAUAAUUCCUUCGGCGGCAGUCGCGUGUUCGAGUCCCUCUGUUGACC